This 403-nucleotide ribosomal RNA is filed under the name uncultured bacterium. Its description in RNAcentral is "bacterial SSU rRNA". It matches the Rfam family "Bacterial small subunit ribosomal RNA", at positions 355 to 775 of the family's 1533-position model. The record is from RNAcentral.
UAGGGAAUAUUGCACAAUGGCGAAAGCCUGAUGCAGCAACGCCGCGUGCGCGAUGAAGGCCUUCGGGUCGUAAAGCGCUUUUUGGGGAGAUGAGGAAGGACAGUAUCUCCAGAAUAAGGCUCGGCUAACUACGUGCCAGCAGCCGCGGUAAAACGUAGGAGCCAAGCGUUAUCCGAAUUCACUGGGCGUAAAGCGCGUGCAGGCGGUCUGAUAAGUUGGAUGUGAAAUCUCCCGGCUCAACUGGGAGAGGCCGUACAAUACUGUUGGACUAGAGGGCGACAGAGGAAGGUGGAAUUCCCGGUGUAGUGGUGAAAUGCGUAGAUAUCGUGAGGAACACCAGUGGCGAAGGCGACCUUCUGGGUCGCACCUGACGCUAAGACGCGAAAGCUAGGGUAGCAAACGG